Molecule: ribosomal RNA, 427 nt
Filed under: uncultured Acidobacterium sp.
Lineage: Bacteria; Pseudomonadati; Acidobacteriota; Terriglobia; Terriglobales; Acidobacteriaceae
Description: bacterial SSU rRNA
Rfam family: Bacterial small subunit ribosomal RNA
Source: RNAcentral
AACGCGAAGAACCUUACCUGGGCUCGAAAUGUUGUGGACCGGAGUAGAAAUAUUCCUUCCCCGCAAGGGGCCGCAAUAUAGGUGCUGCAUGGCUGUCGUCAGCUCGUGUCGUGAGAUGUUGGGUUAAGUCCCGCAACGAGCGCAACCCUUAUCCCCAGUUGCCAUCAUUUAGUUGGGCACUCUGGUGAAACCGCCUCGGAUAACGGGGAGGAAGGUGGGGAUGACGUCAAGUCCUCAUGGCCUUUAUGUCCAGGGCUACACACGUGCUACAAUGGCCGGUACAAACCGUUGCAAACCCGCGAGGGGGAGCUAAUCGGAAAAAGCCGGCCUCAGUUCGGAUCGCAGUCUGCAACUCGACUGCGUGAAGCUGGAAUCGCUAGUAAUCGCGGAUCAGAACGCCGCGGUGAAUACGUUCCCGGGCCUUGUA